UCUUAGAUAAACUGGAACCAAAAGUCAAUUUAUCCUCGAUAUAACUCUUUCAUGUGAACACAAAUUACUACUGUUUCAGUCCACCCUCUUCAACAUGGGCAAACGCUUUUUAUUUCACUGCUUUGAAGAAACCAAAGGAUGGAAAAUGGUAUCUGGAAUCGCCUAUGGGACACAAUGUGAUAGAAACAACAGUGAAGCGGAUAUGUGCUGUGGCCAGAAUUGGAGGAAAGAAAACGAAUCAUUCCCUGAGAUCAACUGCUGCGACCCGUCUGUACGAGGCCAACAUUAGUGAGCAGCAGAUCUGUGAGCAUACUGGUAUGUCUGUCUCUUUUUCCCAAAAUACAUAGUGCAGGAGGUAAUGCCUGUGCAAGGUGUCUGAAAGAAGUCAAUGUCAAAUCAAGCAGAAUCUCUGUUGUGAAAAGACACAGAAGUGAUGCAGUAAGGCUGUACAAAAGGACAACUGACCAACAAAAGGCGAUGGCUUCAGAUAUUUUGGCCUGCAAAGCUCCAAAAAUAGAGAACCCAAAGAAGAUAUCUCUGCGACAGUGUCUGUUCCCCCUCCUGACUCAGAGCCAAGCACAACAGAAAGUCUUACUCGUGGAAAUGUCACAAUUUUAUUAAAGAAAUCUCAAGCA
RNA transcript from Haliotis rubra (blacklip abalone), 635 nucleotides. RefSeq lists it as uncharacterized. The transcript is spliced from 2 exons. The record is from RefSeq and is a predicted model, not a curated record. Lineage: Eukaryota; Metazoa; Mollusca; Gastropoda; Lepetellida; Haliotidae.